CUGCAGCUAACGCAUUAAGCACUCCGCCUGGGGAGUACGACCGCAAGGUUGAAACUCAAAGGAAUUGACGGGGGCCCGCACAAGCGGUGGAGCAUGUGGUUUAAUUCGAAGCAACGCGAAGAACCUUACCAGGUCUUGACAUCCUUUGACCACUCUAGAGAUAGAGCUUCCCCUUCGGGGGCAAAGUGACAGGUGGUGCAUGGUUGUCGUCAGCUCGUGUCGUGAGAUGUUGGGUUAAGUCCCGCAACGAGCGCAACCCUUAUUGUUAGUUGCCAUCAUUCAGUUGGGCACUCUAGCAAGACUGCCGGUGACAAACCGGAGGAAGGUGGGGAUGACGUCAAAUCAUCAUGCCCCUUAUGACCUGGGCUACACACGUGCUACAAUGGGAAGUACAACGAGUUGCGAAGUCGCGAGGCUAAGCUAAUCUCUUAAAGCUUCUCUCAGUUCGGAUUGCAGGCUGCAACUCGCCUGCAUGAAGCCGGAAUCGCUAGUAAUCGCGGAUCAGCACGCCGCGGUGAAUACGUUCCCGGGCCUUGUACACACCGCCCGUCACACCACGAGAGUUUGUAACACCCGAAGUCGGUGAGGUAACCUUUUUGGAGCCAGCCGCCUAAGGUGGGAUAGAUGAUUGGGGUGAAGUC
Molecule: ribosomal RNA, 641 nt
Filed under: Enterococcus faecium
Lineage: Bacteria; Bacillati; Bacillota; Bacilli; Lactobacillales; Enterococcaceae
Description: bacterial SSU rRNA
Rfam family: Bacterial small subunit ribosomal RNA
Source: RNAcentral